RNAcentral lists this ribosomal RNA (497 nucleotides) under uncultured bacterium. RNAcentral's name for it is "partial 16S ribosomal RNA". It matches the Rfam family "Bacterial small subunit ribosomal RNA", at positions 28 to 507 of the family's 1533-position model. The record is from RNAcentral.
GAUGAACGCUGGCGGCGUGCCUAAUACAUGCAAGUCGAGCGAACAGACGAGGAGCUUGCUCCUCUGACGUUAGCGGCGGACGGGUGAGUAACACGUGGAUAACCUACCUAUAAGACUGGGAUAACUUCGGGAAACCGGAGCUAAUACCGGAUAAUAUAUUGAACCGCAUGGUUCAAUAGUGAAAGACGGUUUUGCUGUCACUUAUAGAUGGAUCCGCGCCGCAUUAGCUAGUUGGUAAGGUAACGGCUUACCAAGGCAACGAUGCGUAGCCGACCUGAGAGGGUGAUCGGCCACACUGGAACUGAGACACGGUCCAGACUCCUACGGGAGGCAGCAGUAGGGAAUCUUCCGCAAAGGGCGAAAGCCUGACGGAGCAACGCCGCGUGAGUGAUGAAGGUCUUCGGAUCGUAAAACUCUGUUAUUAGGGUAGAACAAAUGUGUAAGUAACUAUGCACGUCUUGACGGUACCUAAUCAGAAAGCCACGGCUAACUACGUG